GAUAAACGCUGGCGGCGUGCUUUAUGCAUGCAAGUCGAACGGUCUCGAUUUAUCGAGACAGUGGCGAAUGGGUGAGUAACACGUAAGUAACCUGCCCCUAAGUAAGGGAUAACUUCGAGAAAUUGGAGCUAAUACUGUAGUGGUGAUGGGGGUAAGGCUUCAUCACUAAAGCCUUCGGGUGCUUGGGGAGGGGCUUGCGUCCGAUUAGCUAGUUGGUAAGGUAACGGCCUACCAAGGCGAUGAUCGGUAGCUGGUCUGAGAGGACGAUCAGCCACACUGGGACUGAGACACGGCCCAGACUCCUACGGGAGGCAGCAGCAAGGAAUAUUGUGCAAUGGGCGAAAGCCUGACACAGCGACGCCGCGUGAGGGAAGAAGGCCUUCGGGUUGUAAACCUCUUUUCUCAGGGAAGAAAAAUGACGGUACCUGAGGAAUAAGUCUCGGCUAACUACGUGCCAGCAGCCGCGGUAAUACGUAGGAGGCAAGCGUUAUCCGGAUUUAUUGGGCGUGAAGAGGGUGUAGGCGGCUCUUCAAGUUGGAUGUAAAAUCUCCCGGCUCAACCGGGAGGGAACAUUCAAUACUGCUGGGCUAGAGUGCAGCAGGGGGAGGUGGAAUUCCCGGUGGAGUGGUGAAAUGCGUAGAUAUCGGGAGGAACACCAGUGGCGAAGGCGGCCUCCUGGGCUGUUACUGACGCUGAGACCCGAAAGCGUGGGGAGCGAACAGAAUUAGAUACUCUGGUAGUCCACGCCGUAAACGAUGGACACUAGGUAUGGGGAGUAUCGACCCUUUCCGUGCCGAAGCUAACGCUUUAAGUGUCCCGCCUGGGAACACGGUCGCAAGACU
This 842-nucleotide ribosomal RNA is filed under the name uncultured Chloroflexota bacterium. RNAcentral's name for it is "bacterial SSU rRNA". It matches the Rfam family "Bacterial small subunit ribosomal RNA", at positions 28 to 895 of the family's 1533-position model. The record is from RNAcentral. Lineage: Bacteria; Bacillati; Chloroflexota.